RNAcentral lists this ribosomal RNA (496 nucleotides) under uncultured bacterium. Its description in RNAcentral is "partial 16S ribosomal RNA". It matches the Rfam family "Bacterial small subunit ribosomal RNA", at positions 28 to 506 of the family's 1533-position model. The record is from RNAcentral.
GAUGAACGCUGGCGGCGUGCCUAAUACAUGCAAGUCGAGCGAACAGACGAGGAGCUUGCUCCUCUGACGUUAGCGGCGGACGGGUGAGUAACACGUGGAUAACCUACCUAUAAGACUGGGAUAACUUCGGGAAACCGGAGCUAAUACCGGAUAAUAUAUUGAACCGCAUGGUUCAAUAGUGAAAGACGGUUUUGCUGUCACUUAUAGAUGGAUCCGCGCCGCAUUAGCUAGUUGGUAAGGUAACGGCUUACCAAGGCAACGAUGCGUAGCCGACCUGAGAGGGUGAUCGGCCACACUGGAACUGAGACACGGUCCAGACUCCUACGGGAGGCAGCAGUAGGGAAUCUUCCCCAAUGGGCGAAAGCCUGACGGAGCAACGCCGCGUGAGUGAUGAAGGUCUUCGGAUCGUAAAACUCUGUUAUUAGGGAAGAACAAAUGUGUAAGUAACUAUGCACGUCUUGACGGUACCGAAUCAGAAAGCCACGGCUAACUACGU